RNAcentral lists this ribosomal RNA (253 nucleotides) under uncultured bacterium. RNAcentral's name for it is "partial 16S ribosomal RNA". It matches the Rfam family "Bacterial small subunit ribosomal RNA", at positions 524 to 776 of the family's 1533-position model. The record is from RNAcentral.
GACGAAGGGGGCUAGCGUUGUUCGGAAUUACUGGGCGUAAAGGGCGCGUAGGCUGUGCUGUAAGUCAGGCGCGAAAGCCCCGGGCUCAACCUGGGAAUUGCGCUUGAUACUGCGGCGCUGGAAGGUGGGAGAGGAUGGCGGAAUUCCCAGUGUAGAGGUGAAAUUCGUAGAUAUUGGGAAGAACACCGGUGGCGAAGGCGGCCAUCUGGCCCAUUUUUGACGCUGAGGCGCGAAAGCGUGGGGAGCAAACAGG